GAAGCGGAAGCAGGAAGGAACUGAGAACACCAGCAUCUGCUGCCGCCCUGAAUCAGCGUUAGCAUGUGGAGGCAACCUCAGCCCCCAGUUUUUGAAGAAGGUGAUUCAGAUUCAGACACAGGAAUUAUGGUGACGGUAGAAAUGGACUGGAAGGUUCGUUCCCCUUGCCCACCAAGACUCCAGAGCAGAGCUUCAGCGGGAAGUUCUCCGUGAUGAGGUGGUCAGGGUGAAGCAGCACCACGAUGUUAACCUCAAAUUCUGAGAAGAGAAGAGAGGGUGGGUUUGUGCUCACUGUUACCAAGCAGCGAAACCACACGCCGCCACCACUGCAGUCGCAGGAAGCUCUAACGGCGAAGGAGCACCCGGUGCGGGUGGGUUUCAUUGCUGUCCCCUCAGCGCCACCCUGACCUUUCAGCCAAACUUUCAGUGGAGAUGACUAUGCUGAUGUCUGACUACCUCUGUCAACUUUCUCUAAGUGAAUUUUUGUCCUCUCAUCUUGGAACAUGAGUGAUCAGGCUUCACCAACUACACUUUCCCUGUCCCUUUGCUUUCCUAAAAAGGAUAUUCUAGAACCCUUUCAAUUCA
Molecule: long non-coding RNA, 585 nt
Organism: Homo sapiens (human)
Lineage: Eukaryota; Metazoa; Chordata; Mammalia; Primates; Hominidae
Source: Ensembl